RNAcentral lists this unclassified non-coding RNA (19 nucleotides) under Mus musculus (house mouse). RNAcentral describes it as "oocyte_clustered_small_RNA97". The record is from RNAcentral. Lineage: Eukaryota; Metazoa; Chordata; Mammalia; Rodentia; Muridae.
AAAAAGAAGCUGGAUCGAG